UACAGAGGGUGCGAGCGUUGUCCGGAAUCACUGGGCGUAAAGGGCGCGUAGGCGGCCUGGUAAGUACGGGGUGAAAUCUCACGGCUCAACCGUGAGGCUGCCUCGUAGACUGCCGGGCUCGAGCAGAGCAGAGGCUAGCGGAAUUCCCGGUGUAGCGGUGGAAUGCGUAGAGAUCGGGAAGAACAUCGGUGGCGAAGGCGGCUAGCUGGGCUCUUGCUGACGCUGAGGCGCGACAGCGUGGGGAGCAAACAGG
This 253-nucleotide ribosomal RNA is filed under the name uncultured bacterium. RNAcentral's name for it is "partial 16S ribosomal RNA". It matches the Rfam family "Bacterial small subunit ribosomal RNA", at positions 524 to 776 of the family's 1533-position model. The record is from RNAcentral.